AUUGAACGCUGGCGGCAUGCUUUACACAUGCAAGUCGAACGGUAACAGGUUAAGCUGACGAGUGGCGAACGGGUGAGUAAUGCAUCGGAACGUGCCCGGUCGUGGGGGAUAACGCAGCGAAAGCUGCGCUAAUACCGCAUACGAUCUGAGGAUGAAAGCGGGGGACCGUAAGGCCUCGCGCGAUUGGAGCGGCCGAUGUCAGAUUAGGUAGUUGGUGGGGUAAAGGCUCACCAAGCCAACGAUCUGUAGCUGGUCUGAGAGGACGACCAGCCACACUGGGACUGAGACACGGCCCAGACUCCUACGGGAGGCAGCAGUGGGGAAUUUUGGACAAUGGGCGAAAGCCUGAUCCAGCAAUGCCGCGUGCAAGAAGAAGGCCUUCGGGUUGUAAACUGCUUUUGUACGGAGCGAAAAGGUCUCCUCUAAUACAGGGGGCUCAUGACGGUACCGUAAGAAUAAGCACCGGCUAACUACGUGCCAGCCGCCGCAGUAA
RNAcentral lists this ribosomal RNA (493 nucleotides) under uncultured bacterium. RNAcentral's name for it is "partial 16S ribosomal RNA". It matches the Rfam family "Bacterial small subunit ribosomal RNA", at positions 30 to 523 of the family's 1533-position model. The record is from RNAcentral.